CAAGUCGAACGCUUCUUUUCCCACCGGAGCUUGCUCCACCGGGAAAAGAGGAGUGGCGAACGGGUGAGUAACACGUGGGUAACCUGCCCAUCAGAAGGGGAUAACACUUGGAAACAGGUGCUAAUACCGUAUAACAAUCGAAACCGCAUGGUUUCGUUUUGAAAGGCGCUUUACGGUGCCGCUGAUGGAUGGACCCGCGGUGCAUUAGCUAGUUGGUGAGGUAACGGCUCACCAAGGCCACGAUGCAUAGCCGACCUGAGAGGGUGAUCGGCCACAUUGGGACUGAGACACGGCCCAAACUCCUACGGGAGGCAGCAGUAGGGAAUCUUCGGCAAUGGACGAAAGUCUGACCGAGCAACGCCGCGUGAGUGAAGAAGGUUUUCGGAUCGUAAAACUCUGUUGUUAGAGAAGAACAAGGGUGAGAGUAACUGUUCACCCCUUGACGGUAUCUAACCAGAAAGCCACGGCUAACUACGUGCCAGCAGCC
RNAcentral lists this ribosomal RNA (487 nucleotides) under Enterococcus mundtii. Its description in RNAcentral is "bacterial SSU rRNA". It matches the Rfam family "Bacterial small subunit ribosomal RNA", at positions 58 to 516 of the family's 1533-position model. The record is from RNAcentral. Lineage: Bacteria; Bacillati; Bacillota; Bacilli; Lactobacillales; Enterococcaceae.